GACGAACGCUGGCGGCGCGCCUAACACAUGCAAGUCGAACGAGCGAGAGAGAGCUUGCUUUCUCGAGCGAGUGGCGAACGGGUGAGUAACGCGUGAGGAACCUGCCUCAAAGAGGGGGACAACAGUUGGAAACGACUGCUAAUACCGCAUAAGCCCACGGUGCCGCAUGGCACAGAGGGAAAAGGAGCAAUCCGCUUUGAGAUGGCCUCGCGUCCGAUUAGCUAGUUGGUGAGGUAAUGGCCCACCAAGGCGACGAUCGGUAGCCGGACUGAGAGGUUGAACGGCCACAUUGGGACUGAGACACGGCCCAGACUCCUACGGGAGGCAGCAGUGGGGAAUAUUGCACAAUGGGGGAAACCCUGAUGCAGCGACGCCGCGUGGAGGAAGAAGGUCUUCGGAUUGUAAACUCCUGUUGUUGGGGAAGAUAAUGACGGCACCAAACAAGGAAGUGACGGCUAACUACGUG
RNAcentral lists this ribosomal RNA (466 nucleotides) under uncultured bacterium. RNAcentral's name for it is "partial 16S ribosomal RNA". It matches the Rfam family "Bacterial small subunit ribosomal RNA", at positions 28 to 507 of the family's 1533-position model. The record is from RNAcentral.